Acanthopagrus latus (yellowfin seabream) is the source of this 1670-nucleotide long non-coding RNA. RefSeq lists it as uncharacterized. The transcript has 3 exons. The record is from RefSeq and is a predicted model, not a curated record. Lineage: Eukaryota; Metazoa; Chordata; Actinopteri; Spariformes; Sparidae.
AAAUCAGGCUUGUGAAAAAUCACCAUGAUUGUCUAGGUACUAGUAACUAUAAAUAAAUAUUAAAUGAAGCAUGUUAACAUGUAUAAAGCAGUACAAAAGCAACAUCUAUGACAAUUUGCUGGAGAAAACGGUGAAUCUUGCUGCCCUCUCCCCUGUCUCCUCUUGGUGCCCCCCCUCCCCCACGUCCCAGUGGUCUGUUCGAUUAUGCCUCAACCUCAGUUAAGUUUGACAGCUGUUUUAACAUGGCCUCGAAAAGGCAUCAGGAGUCGGGAGCGGAGAAAAGAAAGAAGAAGCGAAAGCGAGAUGAUGCUAAUGCGGCGCUUGCAGAUAAGACAAUGUUUUAAACAAAAAAUGUUCAUUUUGUAGCCUUUGCAAGCAUGUCUGUGCUCAUGCCAGCUAAUAUUGCUACCGUCAACAAACUUUGUAACGAUAGCUCCUACUAGCCAUGUUCAGACUGUGUUAAGUGUUGCAAAUGAUUGAUGUUGGAAAUUAUUGAUGCUUGCUAGCUAGUUUACGUUGUGGGAAUGAAUAUGGAUUAUUGAAAGCAAUUCAUCAUGGCCAGUCGACUGUUCCGUUAACGUUAGCAUUCAGUAGAUCAUACGACUAGCAAUCCGUCCUCAAAUCGCUAGCAAGGUAGCUUUGCUUUUUCUGAUUAACCUGGGCUUGCUACAGUCAGAGGUGCAGUCAAGUAUCGCUACCCUAUUCGCCAAGUUUACUUUGCAUGAUACUGCAUUUCGGUGACUUUCGAAAACCCGGUAAAUUGGAGAUUUCUGAAUUGAAAAGUCCAUCUUCAGAUACUCCUGUAAAUAGGGAAAACUUACAGGUUCAUAGGCCAAGGGCGACAUCUGUUGGUGAAACUGUAAUAUGAGAAGAAUCAAUCUUAAAGUUAUAGAUUUAUCCUUCAUAUUCAUAUAGAGUUAUUAAUUAUGUGCAAAAUUAUUGUUCCUUAUGAAACCUUCAUAAAUGUAAAUUUGAGUUUUGAAUUUUUAAAAAUGCCAGUUAUUUACAUGUAGGCCUACAUAAACCUAAUGCAAAAUGUUUUGUACUGUGGUUUAAAACUUUUUCAACCCAAUCCCUGAAUAUUUUUUCUUGUAUUUCUGAAUGCCGGGUCAAUGCUUAAAUUUGUCCAAGGAGGAGCUCAAGGCCAGGAGGAAGAUCUAGAGCAGCCAUCAACCAGCAGAUCGAUCAACCGUCAACCAGCUGGUCUGCAGAUUUUGCAACAGCUCCCAGCCCUGACCAACAACCAUCAACUACCAGUUCAGGUGGCUGACCACAAAAUUCAGCAAGCGUCGCUGUGGCAUCCUCUACUUGAAUGAUAUGCAAAUUGGAGUGGGUCAAUUGCAUUCCGUGAAACAGCUAGCAAACUACUGUUUACAAUAUCUUAAACCUUUCAUAACCAAUGAGGUGCUGGGAGCAAUGAGGUGCAAGGCUAAUGGAUGGACUCUUCACAGCAGAAUGGAGACGGAGAAGCUUGAGGAGUUUAGUGCAAUUCUAUUGCCUAUUAGGGAGAACAAAGCUGUGGAGAUGGAAAUUGUUUGCCACAGAUAUGAAGAGGAAUUGAAGGUGUCAGAGUGCUUUACAGUAAUGAUGAAAGCCAUGCGAAAGUGUAAAAGACUGUGGGCUGAAGGAGAAGGGAGGGGAAUUGGUAUAGUGUGGAGGUGUGGCAGCCA